UGGGGAAUAUUGGACAAUGGGGGAAACCCUGAUCCAGCCAUGCCGCGUGAGUGAUGAAGGCCUUAGGGUUGUAAAGCUCUUUCGCCGAUGAAGAUAAUGACGGUAGUCGGAGAAGAAGCCCCGGCUAACUUCGUGCCAGCAGCCGCGGUAAUACGAAGGGGGCUAGCGUUGUUCGGAAUUACUGGGCGUAAAGCGAGCGUAGGUCGCUUAGCAAGUCAGUGGUGAAAGCCCAGGGCUCAACCUUGGAACUGCCAUUGAAACUGCUAAGCUGGAAUCUCAGAGGGGAUAGCGGAAUUCCAAAUGUAGAGGUGAAAUUCGUAGAUAUUUGGAGGAACACCGGUGGCGAAGGCGGCUAUCUGGAUGAGUAUUGACACUGAGGCUCGAAAGCGUGGGGAUCAAA
This 400-nucleotide ribosomal RNA is filed under the name uncultured bacterium. RNAcentral's name for it is "bacterial SSU rRNA". It matches the Rfam family "Bacterial small subunit ribosomal RNA", at positions 355 to 772 of the family's 1533-position model. The record is from RNAcentral.